AGAGUUUGAUACUGGCUCAGGACGAACGCUGGCGGCGUGCUUAAUACAUGCAAGUCAAGGAGAACGUUUCCUUCGGGGAAUUAUUAAACUGGCGAACGGGUGAGUAACACGUAGGCAACCUGCCUUGAAGAUUGGGAUAACCCCGGGAAACCGGGACUAAUACCGGAUAAAGCAACGACUUCUUCGGAAGAUGUUGUUAAAGCGGGCUUCGGCUCGCACUUCAAGAUGGGCCUGCGUCCGAUUAGCUUGUUGGUAAGGUAACGGCUUACCAAGGCUUUGAUCGGUAGCUGGUCUGAGAGGAUGAUCAGCCACACUGGGAUUGAGAUACGGCCCAGACUCCUACGGGAGGCAGCAGUAGGGAAUUUUGCGCAAUGGACGAAAGUCUGACGCAGCAACGCCGCGUGAUCGAUGAAGCUUCUAGGAGUGUAAAGAUCUGUCGUGAGGGAAGAAAAAUCUGGAUGUAAAUAAUGUUCAGACUUGACGGUACCUCACAAGAAAGCACCGGCUAACUUCGUGCCAGCAGCCGCGGUAAUACGAGGGGUGCUAGCGUUGUCCGGAAUAACUGGGCGUAAAGGGUCCGUAGGCGUUUUGCCAAGUUGAUCGUUAAAGCCAUCGGCUUAACCGAUGAUCUGCGAUCAAAACUGGCAGAAUAGAAUAUGUGAGGGGAAUGUGGAAUUCCUGGUGUAGCGGUGACAUGCGUAGAUAUCAGGAGGAACACCAAUGGCGAAGGCAGCAUUCUGGCACAAUAUUGACGCUGAGGGACGAAAGCGUGGGGAGCGAACAGGAUUAGAUACCCUGGUAGUCCACGCCGUAAACGAUGAGUACUUGGUGGUGGGGGAUUCGACCCCUUCACUAUCGGAGCUAACGCGUUAAGUACUCCGCCUGGGGACUACGACCGCAAGGUUGAAACUCAAAGUAAUUGACGGGGACCCGCACAAGCGGUGGAACAUGUGGUUUAAUUCGAUGCAACGCGAAGAACCUUACCUGGACUUGACAUGUUAGUGAAAGUUUUGUGAAAGCAGAACCUUCUACGAGCUUGCUC
This 1042-nucleotide ribosomal RNA is filed under the name Fidelibacterota bacterium JGI 0000113-D11. RNAcentral's name for it is "bacterial SSU rRNA". It matches the Rfam family "Bacterial small subunit ribosomal RNA", at positions 8 to 1032 of the family's 1533-position model. The record is from RNAcentral. Lineage: Bacteria; Pseudomonadati; Fidelibacterota.